AUUGUGCAUGAAGAGAGGGUAACCUCAGCAACCUAGAAAGCAAACAAAGGUGCUAAAGAUGCGGUUUUUUAAACAAAAAAUAUGCUAUU
The submitters of this non-coding RNA (89 nucleotides) gave its source as unclassified sequences. The record is from Rfam.